Molecule: long non-coding RNA, 5459 nt
Filed under: Marmota monax (woodchuck)
Lineage: Eukaryota; Metazoa; Chordata; Mammalia; Rodentia; Sciuridae
Source: RNAcentral
GGAACAACAGAGGCCUGUUGUUGAAACCACAUCGUUUCCAUCACAGUGGGGAAAAAACAAGGUCAUUGUGGGCUUGCAGCAUUGUUAAGGUUUUGAGCCUGCCCCAAUUAUUUUAUUCAUGUUAAAAUUUAAGGAGAUGAGAAACAUAUUGAAGAGAGGACAGAAGUUAAUUUACAUCUGCCACUUCCCCCUCUGCAAUAUUUAAAUGCCUGUCACUCUCCCACCCCUUUUAGCUGAAGGGGGAGUCCUUUCAGCCAAGCCCCCUCCCCCUCUACUGUUUUUUCUUUUUUUUUUUCAAUUUGUUAAGAUGCUGAAAUCUGCUUUGUGUGAUUUAUGAAGGAACUUGAAGCGAUUAGUUUCACAGUGCAUGAAAAUUCCUCAGGUUCAGGGGGGAUGGCCAAUCUGUUACACUGUUUGCCGUGGACUGGAUGGGAACUUGAGCAGCUUGGAGCCAUAAGGAGAUUGUGUUGAGUUAUUAAACACUUGUGGUAAAGCUGCUUAUUGUUAAUUCCCUGAUGUCCUGCUGAAUCGAUAGGAUAAAAUCAGAUCGGAUUAGAUCAAAGAGCCUGGGAGCCAGCCUUUGGAGCAGAUUUAUUUAGUCACUAAAGAGACCUCCUGAGAGAGGGGGAGAGAAUCUGGGCAGUGCUGGUAGCCCGGGGAUUAAGAUGGGAGGGGGUGGGAAGUGGUGGGAAAGAAACAACAGUUUAUACAUCUGCAUUUCCUCUUCUUAUGGAGUGUAAUUCUCUGAAAUGCUUUUAGCCACCUUCAAGAAAGGGUAUAACCAUUUCUUUAAGAUUUCAUUACUCCAAUAUUCUAUGACUCCAAUAAUGCCACUACAGACCAGGAGGCUAUUUUAAAAAACAAACAAACAAAACAAAACAACUUCAGUUCCAUGAAAUGUAUUUCCACAAAAGCAAUUUAGGCUUAAAUGAUUCCCCAAGAAACAUUAAUCCCUUAUGAGUUAAUCUGCAAAAUUUCCUACAGUCCCUUUGUGAGGAGAAAUAAUGGAGAAACACCAAAAGGCCAAAGUCUAGCUCCACCCCCUCUUUGUAAUCCCCCCAUGCCCACCUUCCAACCCCCCUCCAAUAAUUAUAGAGCAUUGUAUAUUAAGAGGUAUGAUGUGGCUCCCUUCAUCCAUGAUUAACACUUAAGCUGAAGCCUAUUCAUUCAUCUCUUAGCCCUACCCAACCCUGCUAAAAUGCGGAUUUGCCAAUAAGGAAGUGACACCCAUUAGAAAGUUAACCAUGGAAAAUGAGGGAAAAAAAUGAAGGAUAGAGCAAAUUAAGAAUGCGAGUCCCUCAAUGGUUAUUGACCUUAAUGGCGUUAUAAAAAUGAUGUCGGCUUUUACCAGGAAUAAUUUAUAUUCUGAAUUAAAUAAGGAUAUGUAUCUAUAAAUCUAUUCUAUAAAACUUAAUUUUCCAUCUAGAUAUGCUGAUUACUCCGGGCCGGCAUACCUUUACCCGUUGUUAAUUACUGCGGGAUGGUUUAACACUAUUUUCCAAAUCAGCAUGCAUGCAUAAAAUGACUGCAAUCCAAUUUGACACAUUAUUAAUGAUGAUUAUUGUCAUAGAUAAAUUAGAUUGAACAGAAAAUAACCUUCAUCCUUAGCAUGUUUUAGCUCUCAGAAUUAAUAUGAUUUGGUGAACACAUAUAAAUAAAAAUCUGAUGAGUCCCUGCUGACUACAGGGCCUACUGGUGCUGAAGUAUAUCAAUUUCAUGCAGAUGAUGAAUUCCUUAAGCAUUCAAUGAUAAUCAUGCUUGAUUUGACAAGACUUUCUCAUGCUAUUUUAGGGCCUUAAUUUUCUGUGAAGUUCUGUCAAGUGCUCAUCAAGCACCCACUUAUCUCCAUAUCUUAACCUGCAGCCAAUCACAAGGUUGCCUAACAGUAGAGCUACGGAGUGCCAGUCCAUUAAUAGUCAAGUCACGUGACUGUCCAAAGAGAGAAACCAAUCAAUGGCUGAUUAACAUUCAGGUCACAUGACUCCCAGGAGAGUAAAUGAGUUACACAGUAAGACAUCAAACAAAUUUUCAUCUUGAAAGAGUGAUUGCUUUUUCUGCUGCUGUGAUGUUUGUCAAAUUUGCUCUAGCCUUGUCCAAUUAAGCUCCAUGAGCUGAAUUAAUAAUGAAGAGAUGUAAGCACCGUGCCAGCAUGAGAGCUGCGAGCGGUGCCACGGAAUAAGAACUGCUAAAAAAAAAUUCUUAGAAUGAUUGAAAAAUCACAUCUGGAUAACUGGAAUAAUUGCUUUUGCAAUCUUGAUGCUGUUUUGUAAUCUCUAGUGCAAAGUGUGAAACCAGAGUAUGCUGGGACAUGGCACUGAGUUGGCGUUAGACUUCAAAGACGAAUGUGGCUUUGAGUUUAGAAUGAUUUUAAGGGCAUUAUACAAAUACAUGUUAAUUGGAUUAUUGUUUUUGACUGUAGUAAUGAAUUUCAUUUGCACACUCAAUUAUGUUCUGGGGCCUCCUAGAGAUAGAAUCUCUCAGAAUUGUUUCACCUCUCAGAAGAAGGUAAGGAGAUUAUUCUGUAUUCCUAUCUUCUGGGUGAAGAAAGGACCGGACCAAGUACCUUAGAGUGAAUUUGAGUGUCAUUGUGAAUCGGCUGUGUGGGUUUGUACUGUUCAUUUUAUUAAUCGUCAGAGGUCAGUAAAUUAAAUUCACUGAAUUAUUUCAAAAAGCGCAUGUGAGCCCAGGGAGAAUUUUCAGAAAAAGGCAGAUGCUAUCUUGCUGUUAAUAGCCAAUGACAGCUUUCGUGGAGUUUCAGAGUAAGUUCUGUUCCAUCACCAAGUCGAUUGCAUUUCAGCACAGAUGCACUACUAAAUUCAGGUGACAUAUUUAGAAUAGAGACCCUAUGACUAAUAAAGCUUUCAUUCCUUCCCUGAAGGGAGUGAGACUUGACUAAUGGUUUAUUGGCAUUAUCAGAAAGUGUCAAAUCCCACUUAAUAAGUUCCAGCAUGAAAUUAGCUAAAUUCCCAAAGGCCUUUCUGAAACAAUAUAGUCAAAUAAAAGGUGUUGGGCGUGCUGGAAAGAGUGUUAAAACCAGUUACUUGGAAGUGAGGAGAAAAUAAAUCUAACUGUAGGCAGGAGGCAAUGUUUAUAUAUACAGUUAAUAACCUUCUUAAUGGGACUUCUUGGCUAGGUGAUUCCUGUAUGCGGGAGGAAAGUGAGAUGUGGAACACAGGGUAGGCGAAGGGCCAUAAGUCAAUUCCCAGCACUGUUAGUCAAGGAUAGAAAUUGCAAAGAGAGAAGCAAUGGAUUUUAAAACCCCAGCAAGCAGAGAGUGGAAGGAGAGAUGAAUUGUGCAUUUGGACUGGGAGGAAACAGAACUGGAAGGGAAUGGUUGAGAGUCCACGCUGAACCAUGCUGAUGUAAUUAAAACUGACUUAGUCCAAAGAACAGGGGACUCCACCACUCCCUGAGAGUCGUUUUCGCAGGGAGCAUGAGGCCUAAAAGAGGGCAUAUUAUAGAAACGGUAUUUGUUUGUUUGUUUUAAAAAAAGCAAAAGUUGGGAUCUCAGCCACUAAGGUUCAAAUCCAAUAUCAGAGACUUAUGAAAACUCAGCUUUGGGUUGCUCUGAAAAGACCCACGGUACCCAAGGUAAUGUAAAUUUACCAGAUAUUCUUCUCCUGAAUAUUUUACCCCAAGACUUGCUUUGCAGCAAACUUGCAGCCUGGAGUUCUGCUUACAUUCAACUCACAUGCAAUGGAGCCCCUUCCUACAAGUACCCCCAACUUCCUGACACUUGAGAGCCAUGGAAUGGAAUGGAAGGUGGCUCCAGUUGUCCUCAGUCAGCUUUCCUGGGCUCUGAAUAAAAGACUAUUCCAGUUUCUGCAUAACUUUACAUAAUUAAUAGUUUUCCAUGCAAACUAUUGUUUGCCUUAAUUGUUGUUUCAACAGCUGUUUUCAUUAAAUUGUAAAGCCCGCUGUGUCUAAUCCUUUGAGCCCUGCUAUUGAUAACAAGAACUGCUCUGAAGCUUGCUCUGGAGGAAGAGUUCCUGCCAAGCUGGAAAACCAUCCUGAAGUUACUUGAAACUCACGCCUACAGUGGGGCUGGUUGUGUAGCUAAUCCAUUAGGCUUUUCAAAAGAGCCAUGCUCUGUACCCUUAUGGCCAAAUUGACCCAACAACCAAUCAAUGCCUUUAUUUGCUGAGUGGCUGCCCCUGAAGGGUCUUAUAGCUGGGUCCAAGUUUUAAUCAAAGCCUCCAUCAGUACUGGGGCCUGAUGACAUAAAUGGCCAAACUUUCAACAAACUUUCAACGCGGCUGGCCAGAGUCCAGUCACACCAUUUUGAAGAUACAAAGAGGCUGUGUUGCACGGUGGAAUUCAUUUUCUUGUUUACUUCCUCCAGCAACAAGAGCAUCAUCAGCACACUCAGUGCAUCGUAUCAGACUGAGGAGCUGUUGACAGAAGCUUGGCGAGGUUUGCCAGCUUUCCACAUGAAACGCUGGCUUUCUUCUCAUACACCCCCUACCGUUUGUGUCUCUGCCAAUUGUAGCACAUCAGAGCAGCCAUUGAGAUAAUGACCGUGAAGUCUCAUGAUACACUUUGAUGAAGUGUAACAUUUUUUAAAGGAUUUUUGUCUGUGCCAAAAUGAUCGACACAGCUGACUAAAAAUUGCCCCAUCAAAAUCAAGGCUGAUGAACAGCAGGCAGAGGCAUGAGUCUCCCCAGAGAAGAUGGGGAGGGGGGAUUUGCAGCCAAAGUGUCUUUCUUUCCUUGUCUUUUGUGCACCAGAGUCCUUUGUUAAAAAGUCGUCUUUGUUUCAGAUGAAUGUAUGUCAGUUGCUGAUACUUCAGGCUCCAAUGUUUUUUAAUUCUUUUUUUCCCCCUUCUCGCAAACCCCAGAAGAUAUAGGCACAGAUUCCUAACUGACAGUUCCUUACUAAUACCUCAGAAAACAUGUUGUUAAUAACUUCAUAUUGGUUGAAGAAAGCAUUCUGGGUACUUCCCAGGUUUUCAGUCACAGGCUGGUCCUAUACUAGUUAGUGUCCAUGUAACUUUGGAUUAGUUUAGUUUGGCUAGGACUGAAAAAAAAGUUACGCAAAAGUGGUUCUGAGCCAAUGAAAAAUAAAAUUAACCUGCUGUGAGUUUCUUUGGAAGAAUAAUGAUGUGUUUAAUUUACUGCUUGAACUGUUGUGAUUAUCAUUCAUUUCACACCUUCUGUCACUCAGAGAUCGCACCAGGUGAAGUGAUUUAGUAUUCACAUUUGCGCCUCUGACCCUCAGAACGACUCCAUUCAUAGGUAAGGAAACCAAGACCCAAAUGAGGAAGCUGAGUGCUGGAGAUGUUAAGUAACUUGACCAAAGUCAAAGAGUCGGGAAGUGGGAAGGCAGGGUCUGACCAGCACUCUUGCUUAGGAGAUGUGUUCCCUUUCUGCCUGUGGUCACUGUUUCCAUAGUACACCUGAUGUGGCUUAUUAAAUGGGGCUUAGUGGGAGAAGAGAAAAUGAUUUGUGGUUGAAUUAAUA